This 72-nucleotide transfer RNA is filed under the name Ipomoea nil (Japanese morning glory). It matches the Rfam family "tRNA". Rfam says of the family: Transfer RNA (tRNA) molecules are approximately 80 nucleotides in length. Their secondary structure includes four short double-helical elements and three loops (D, anti-codon, and T loops). Further hydrogen bonds mediate the characteristic L-shaped molecular structure. tRNAs have two regions of fundamental functional importance: the anti-codon, which is responsible for specific mRNA codon recognition, and the 3' end, to which the tRNAs corresponding amino acid is attached (by aminoacyl-tRNA synthetases). tRNAs cope with the degeneracy of the genetic code in two manners: having more than one tRNA (with a specific anti-codon) for a particular amino acid; and 'wobble' base-pairing, i.e. permitting non-standard base-pairing at the 3rd anti-codon position. The record is from Rfam by way of RNAcentral. Lineage: Eukaryota; Viridiplantae; Streptophyta; Magnoliopsida; Solanales; Convolvulaceae.
UGGCUUAUAGCUUAGUGGUAGAACAUUUUAUUGUAAAUUGAGAAGACACCAGUUCAAACUUGGUUGGGCCCU